CCAAGUCACUUGGAGGAUUGAGAAUUUUUCCAAUCAAAGACAUAAAGAUCUACUCUGAAAAUUUUACGGUUGAUGGCAACAAAUGGCGGCUUAUUAUCUACCCGGGAACAACAUGGAUGUUCUGUCAAUUUAUUUAGGAAUUGCAGAUUCAGCAACUUUGCCUUCAGGAUGGAGUCGAUUUGCCAAUACGGAUUUGCAGUCAUCGACCAAAUUGAUCGCAGAAAUCUUUUACUAAAGUCGCUACACAGGAGUUCAACGCGACGUCUGGUAAUUGGGGUUUUUCUUCAUUCUUAGCACUUUGUGAAUUAAACGACCCUAAAAGAGGCUACCUCGUCAAUGAUGCAUGCUUAGUUGAAGCCUAUAUUUCCACUGAUAGCACUCCAGGUCUCAUUUCAAAGGAUUCAUACUCCAAAACGGAUGAGGAUAAACAAGACCGUGGAAGGUGAUCACGUGAAGGAAACCAUAGACAUCCAGACAACUGCGAAAACCGAACCAGUAGAAAUCACAACUCCUCCACCAACCCACCUUGCCAGAAUGUUGGAAGUCAGGCCGUUGAACCUACAGAAGAAGAUAUAAAGACAUUUUUCACUAGCUUAGAGUCUGAGCUUUCAAGCCAUGACUCUGUUUUUUCUAAAGAAGAAGCAAUGGAAGCACUGGCUAAAUUAGAUGAAGCCUUGAGUAUGACCCCAGUUAAUCUCUGCCAUUCAGGGAAGGUUUUUCACUUAAGCAGGCAUUCAAGAUCCUAGCUAGUUUCGAUUGUUCCUCUACCACCCUUACAAUUGAGCAGAAAAUGAG
Hibiscus syriacus is the source of this 795-nucleotide long non-coding RNA. RefSeq lists it as uncharacterized. The transcript is spliced from 4 exons. Lineage: Eukaryota; Viridiplantae; Streptophyta; Magnoliopsida; Malvales; Malvaceae. The record is from RefSeq and is a predicted model, not a curated record.